This is an RNA transcript of Pelmatolapia mariae (spotted tilapia), 3391 nucleotides long. It is a transcript of the gene named major facilitator superfamily domain-containing protein 12-like, with no coding region annotated. The record is from RefSeq and is a predicted model, not a curated record. The transcript is spliced from 11 exons. Lineage: Eukaryota; Metazoa; Chordata; Actinopteri; Cichliformes; Cichlidae.
GGAGGAGCUGCGCUUCUGUAUUUAGUAAAGACUCGCAGUUCCAACAUGUAACAGCUAAAUUUACCUGUUACGUGUUGGAACUGUGAGUCCCCUCGUUACAUUCAUUACAGUCUCCGGUUUUUUUCUUCAUCUUUGUACCGUGACAUGUCCUCGGAUGACUUUUCAUUCGCUGGCUGUUGUAAUGUGAUGUAAGUGGAGCUGCGCGGCGGUGAAAAUCCCCUUCGCCCACUGAUGUGGUUCUGUUUCGGUUUUCCUUCCUCUCAGACGCUCCUCCUGGCUUGGCCGCAUCGCUACAUGUCACCUGAUUUCAAGAGGAAACUGGCACCUGAAUUAAAGGGACUAACUAGCUGGUUAAGUUGCGACACAUGCCCUUACUAAACCGGAUGGUAAAACCGUAUAAAGAAGAUCAGUCGUAAAAAGGGGAACCGAGAACGGGGCUGUCGACACUGAGCCUCCUUCCCCCAGACGUGGAAAAAGCUAGCCGAAGCUUCCGUGUAAACUGGGCUUUGGGCUUCCUCCAGCCGUGAUGUCGGACACGGACGGUUCUCUUCCUCUGCUGAAGAGGCUCAGCUAUGCGGUGGGGCACUUUCUCAAUGACCUGUGUGCCUCCAUGUGGUUCACAUAUCUGCUCGUUUUCUACCAUUCGGUGCUGGGAUUCCAAAACACGAGUGCAGGUGUGCUUUUGCUGGUCGGGCAGAUAGCUGAUGGUAUCUGUACGCCUCUUAUUGGCUACGAGUCCGACCGAAGCCCCGGCUGUAGAAACUACGGCAAGAGGAAGACGUGGCAUUUAGUUGGUACACUGAGCGUAGUGCUUUCCUUUGCCUUCAUCUUUAACCAGUGUGUGGGCUGCAGCUCCCUCACCCCUCAGUGGGCCAGUUUAAUCUACUUCGUCCCAUUCAUCAUCAUCUUUCAGUUCGGCUGGGCCGCCACGCAGAUCUCUCACCUGUCCCUCAUUCCAGAGCUGGUCACUUGUGAGCAUGCUAAAGUAGAGCUCACCGCGUACAGGUAUGCGUUCACAGUGAUCGCCAACAUCACCGUGUAUGGAGUGGCUUACCUGCUGUUUCACGUCCAGGCUGGAGAGGAUGAAGACCCUAAUUCACUAGGACCAGCAGAUAUCACCAUCUUCAGGAAUCUGUCACUAAUUGUUUUGGGGAUCGGUGUCGUCUUCUCCGUCGUUUUCCACGUGGGAACAAAAGAGAACAAUGGAACAAGCGAGGAGUCGGUGGAGGCAGAGGGGGAGCGGAGGCCACUGCUGCCGCGCUCCAACACCUUCUCGUCUCUCCUGCAGUGGAAAUGCUGGCUGCGACAGCCUUCUUUCUACCAGGUGGCCGUACUCUACAUGUCCACCAGGCUGAUCGUCAACCUGUCUCAGACGUACAUCUCCAUGUAUCUCAUCAACACUCUGGGGCUGCCAAAGAAGUUCAUAGCUACCAUCCCAUUGGUGAUGUACGUGAGCGGCUUCCUGUCCUCCUUCAUCAUGAAGCCUGUCAGCAAACUCAUUGGGAAAUGUCUUACAUACUUCGUUGGCCUGCUGCUGAUCAUGGCGUUCUCGUAUUGGGUGCUGCUGGACGUCACCAUGGGUCAGCAGGUGUACGGGGCGGCCGUGCUGCUGGGGGCCGGGUCCGCCACCAUCCUGGUCAUAUCGCUCGCCAUGACCGCGGAGCUCAUCGCAGAUCAGACGCAAAGCGGAGCGUUCGUGUACGGAGCCAUGAGCUUCACUGACAAGGUGGCCAAUGGACUGGCAGUGAUGAUCAUUCAGGCCCUGCAUCCCUGCCAUAAACCCUUCUGUGUGUGUGUGUGUGUGUGUGUGUGUGUGUGUGUGUGUGUGUGUGUGUGUGUGUCAGCACUGUGGUGUGCUGUCCUGCCUGUGUGUGGUUCUACCAUUACGUCAUGGUCAUUGUAACGGGAGGUGUUUCCAUCGUCGCAGCUUUGGCCCUUUGCUCCAUCCUCAUCUGGCCAAUCAAGAUCAGAGGGCGUGCUUUGCCAAUCAUCUCCAGUGAAGCAAAUGGAAUCAACUGACCGGGCUCCUCCCACACAUCAUCUCACCACGGGGAACUUCCUGUUUCAGGGAAACGGCAGUUUCCUGUGGGAUUUCCUGCCUCGCUGCUGAAACCAAGAAGCCUUUCUGUUUUUAAACUGAGAUUUGCAUCCUUUUAUAACCUUGUUUUGUCUUCAUUUUCCAACAAAACUCGAUCUAAAAUCCAGGCUGAUGUCGGACUACAGGCCAGCAAACACCUGCACACCUCCACCUGCACUGAUUUAAAGAAUUGAAUCACACAAUAAGCUAUUUUGUAAUGAAUUUGUUCUGAUGAUAUAUUUUGAACUUUCCUCAUGAUCAAAGCAUCGAGACAGUAAACCGGACCGUCUGCUAGUCGUUGGGUUUGCAGUCUGUUAGCUGCUUUGUGGGCUCACACUGUUAGAUUAGUGUAACAGUGCUGGAGGCCACAAAGCCGGCACAUGUCACAGGGCAUCGUCUCCAAGCUGCUGCAGCCUGAGCACAGUGGCUGCAGCCUGAUUUCCUUUCACCUCUGCCCCCCUCAUCAUUCUCACUGUGCACAUGCUGCUCUGCAGCACUUAUUUCCUUUUACUACACAGGGUCAGCCUGAAAUUCCCUAAAUGUGAAUGAAGCCACUACACAGAGUUUGGAAAAUGAUGAGAAAACAGUUGUGCUCCUUAAAUAGACAUCAAACAUGUUGUUUCACACGUGCACUGUGCAGGAGAGCAGGGCUGGCUGCAUGUCGCAUUAAUGUCCUGGAUGACAAAGGGAACAGAGUCCCUGCUCGGAGGAGGACGAAGGGAACCAGAGGAGGAGGAUGUGAACAUGAAUGAUGUUCAGUGUCCUCAGCAGUAAAAUCUUCCCCAGGUUUCACUAAGAGUCAUUCCACUAUCUCUCCCCCCUCCCUCCCCCUCUCAUAAACUGAUAAGCCACUACAAUUGGACACACGAAGGCCGUCUGUACAGCGUGCAGGCUGAUGGUGAGGAGGAUGAUGCACAGACGACACUAAUACAAGCGUUUACCUCGAAGACGUUUGACUGGACUCGCUCAGUGACGCCUCAGUCAGAGGAAGUCCCUGCUGAGCUUCACUGGCUUAUUUCUAUUUGUGCUGUCCUGGAUUUUGUCCCUCAUGAAAUGACUGUUAUGUAAACUGGAAUCAAAUGGAAGGUGAAUCACACGUUUGUAAUUAAUGAGCAGAGCUGUGUCUGAUAUUUAAACGCUUCAAAGGGAUCAAAAGCUCUAAUCUGUGUAUUUGAUGUGUACAUAAAGGGAACAUGGUGUUGGACCAGAGCUGUGUUGUAAUGAUCAGCCUUCAUGUCCAGCAGGAGAACUUUGUUUACUUUGUCUCUUCUACCUGUGUGAUAACUCCCUUAUUAAACGGGAUUCAUUUCUCUA